UCGUUUGGGAUCAAAAACUGGUGCCAAUGAAAUCAAGCAACAUUCCUUCUUCCGUGAAAUGAAUUGGCCUCUUAUUCGUUGCAUGACACCGCCUGAGUUAGAAGUUCCACUUCAGGUGACUGGAAGGGAACCUGAUUCCAAGGUGAAGGAUGCACAAUGGGCUGAUGAACAAAUGCCUAUUGAUUCUCUACAGAAUCUGUGAAGCAACAAACACAACUAGCUGACGAGAUUCAAGCCUACUCAAAGCUCUCAUAUCUCUCAAAUGAUUGCAUGGCGCUACUCCUGGAAGAGAUGGGUUUCGGACCUGGAUAAUUUUGAGGAAAAAAGGCAAACCAUCAUGUAUAGAAUAAGGAAGCCAUGGUCGUGCAAUGGUAAUCUCUGUAGAGUAAUAUUUGCAGUUAAUGUAAUUAAUUAAUGCUUCAGGAGAGAUUGAUUCCUAAA
Molecule: long non-coding RNA, 441 nt
Organism: Zingiber officinale
Lineage: Eukaryota; Viridiplantae; Streptophyta; Magnoliopsida; Zingiberales; Zingiberaceae
Exons: 3
Source: RefSeq, a predicted model, not a curated record